GGGGAUGUAACUCAGUGGCAAAGUGCUUGACUAGCAUGCAUGAAACCCUGGGUUCAAUUUCCAGCAUUGCAA
This 72-nucleotide transfer RNA is filed under the name Urocitellus parryii (Arctic ground squirrel). Its description in RNAcentral is "Spermophilus parryii (Arctic ground squirrel) tRNA". It matches the Rfam family "tRNA". From Rfam's summary of the family: Transfer RNA (tRNA) molecules are approximately 80 nucleotides in length. Their secondary structure includes four short double-helical elements and three loops (D, anti-codon, and T loops). Further hydrogen bonds mediate the characteristic L-shaped molecular structure. tRNAs have two regions of fundamental functional importance: the anti-codon, which is responsible for specific mRNA codon recognition, and the 3' end, to which the tRNAs corresponding amino acid is attached (by aminoacyl-tRNA synthetases). tRNAs cope with the degeneracy of the genetic code in two manners: having more than one tRNA (with a specific anti-codon) for a particular amino acid; and 'wobble' base-pairing, i.e. permitting non-standard base-pairing at the 3rd anti-codon position. RNAcentral also lists the same sequence under 1 other name. The record is from Rfam by way of RNAcentral. Lineage: Eukaryota; Metazoa; Chordata; Mammalia; Rodentia; Sciuridae.